This 253-nucleotide ribosomal RNA is filed under the name uncultured bacterium. RNAcentral's name for it is "partial 16S ribosomal RNA". It matches the Rfam family "Bacterial small subunit ribosomal RNA", at positions 524 to 776 of the family's 1533-position model. The record is from RNAcentral.
UACAGGGGUCCCAAGCGUUGUUCGGAUUCAUUGGGCGUAAAGGGUGCGUAGGCGGCGCGGUAAGUCGGGUGUGAAAUCUCGGGGCUUAACUCCGAAACUGCAUUCGAUACUGCCGUGCUUGAGGACUGGAGAGGAGACUGGAAUUUACGGUGUAGCGGUGAAAUGCGUAGAUAUCGUAAGGAAGACCAGUGGCGAAGGCGGGUCUCUGGACAGUUCCUGACGCUGAGGCACGAAGGCCAGGGGAGCAAACGGG